GAAAAUAUUGGCAUAAUUACCUUUCAACAUCACAAUUUUGUAAAAGCUAAGAUACCGAGAAGAUCACGCCACCAUAAGUAUCAAUGUCGAGCAAGUUUUUUCCUUGGACAAGAAAGACUUCUAUUAGGGGAAGAAGACAAAUAGCAACUAGCUUGAAAAGUUAAGUGGCUGCGGUAUGGUGGUGGGUGGUGGCUAUAUUUUUGUAUGAGAGACAACGGAUAAGGUAAAUAAUGUACAGGCUCGUGAGUCGUGUCUGCUGGGCUAAACAAUCUCAUGAAGAAAUGCAUGCUUCCUUCAGAAUCCUCCAUCUUCAUUAUAUAUAUAUAUAGGGCCAUGCACUUGGCAUGCAAGACAUUUUCACUCCUUGACAUGGCUGUCUUAACCUAGUACUUUUAAGCGUAUGACGGCUGUGCAUGUGGCCGGUUCUAGUUUCUCAUGCUGUAAAUGUGAAGAAACUUAAGGUAAGUUGGCAUCCACAUUUACAGACAUUCCCUUUUGUCAAGCCAUGAUGUUUGCUAAAUUGUUGGGAAAAUGCCAAUUGCUUACAACUUUUAGGGUUGGGAAAUGAAGAAUUAUUUGUCGAGGGUGUUUUUAGUGCGGUAAUGGUUAUUUUUCAAAGUAUUUUUGCUUGAAAAUAUGUUAAAAUAAUGUUUUUUUUAUUUUUUUUAAAAUUAUUUUUGAUAUUAACACUUUAAAAUGAUAUCAGAAUACUAAAAAAAUUUAAAUUUUUUUAAAAUACAAAAAUAAACUGCUUAUGAGAAUCUUCUCCCUUUCCUUUCCAGGGCAAGGACACAAAUGGCCACCCUCGACUGGUUAAGCCCAACUAAAAAUGGAAUAGCUUUAGGGCUAGUUAUUCAAAUGAGGCCUAAAGGUUCUCUAGGAUUCGUUUCACAUUCGUCGGUUUUCUUUAGAUUUUAAUCAAAGCUUAAGGAGCAGCCCAGCUUCACUUUUGAUAUACUGGACUUUCGAGUGGGCCUACCAAGGUAGUCCAGUUUCACAUGAAUUAUCUCGAUCGUGGCCCUACAUUUGUUGAUUUUUAGGCCCAAAUAGACCUCUCAAUCCAAACAUCUAGGCCAUUGACAAGGGAGGAGGCCAACCUACGAAAAAUACUGGGCCGAGCUACCAUGGCAAAAUCCAUUUCUAGCAUACUGUGGUUUUCGCAUUCCACCGGCACGUUUUCAUUUCUUUUUUAUUGUUAUACUAUAUAGUAGCAGAAGAUAUGUGGCCGUGUUAUGUUGUGAGCACAUUUUUAUAGAAAUGAGAAACAUUUGAGAUCCGGGUCAUCUUCUGCUGAAAGAGCCCGCCCGAGUUGAAAUGCGAAAAGAAACCAAAUAAAAUAUUUUAAAAUAUCAUUUUAUUGUUAAAUUUAAUCAAUUAAUUUAAUUUAAUUCAGAGAUAAUUUUUUUUAAAAAAACUAAAUUUAACAAAGAACGGAAAAUAAAAAGACCUACUAUAAACCCGGGUCAUCUUUAAAAUUAGUGAAAAACCCUAUAGAAAAAAAUAUAAAAAAAUAAUGGAGCCCGAUCUCCAAUUAAAUAGAUUCUAAAGGAUAAAAUUGAAAGAAAACAUGAGCUUAAAAAAAAAACAAAAAAGAAGAAGUAAAUUCAGGCAAAUCUCUUAAACUUGAAUUAAUUUUCUAAACUCGUAACUUGCAUUCAGGUUCAAUCAAAAAGCUUAGUUCUCAACCAAUUUGAUGUUGAAGGAUAAAACCGGAAAAAAGAGUCAAUUUCAAAAAAAUAGUCAAAGUAAAGAAAAAUGAGAGGAUGAGGAUUAUAAAACAAAUUUAGUUUAAAAAAUUAUCUCAAUAAAAUAAAUAGCAAUAAAAAAAAUAAGAAUUAAAUCUGACGUAUAAAAAAAUUAAAGGUGGAUGAAAUUAAAAAAAAAAUCUAAUUUUAUAAAUUAUUUCAAAUAAAACAAGUCCAAAUCCAAAGGAAAACUAAAUUGAAAAGUUGCUUCGAAAAUUUAGAAAGACAUGUGUGGAAAUUGAGAAGAAGAGAGAAAAGAAAGAAAAAAGUCAGAAGUGCCAAAUAGAAUAUUCU
This 2039-nucleotide long non-coding RNA is filed under the name Populus trichocarpa (black cottonwood). RNAcentral's name for it is "long non-coding RNA (PTRI_LNC002682)". Lineage: Eukaryota; Viridiplantae; Streptophyta; Magnoliopsida; Malpighiales; Salicaceae. The record is from RNAcentral.